UACGAAGGUUGCAAGCGUUGUUCGGAAUCACUGGGCUUAAAGAGCAUGUAGGCAGCUCAUCAAGUGUCUUGUGAAAUCCCCCGGCUCAACCGGGGAAUUGCUCGGCAUACUGUUAGAGCUUGAGGCAGGUAGGGGUGCGUGGAACUCUUGGUGGAGCGGUGGAAUGCGUAGAUAUCAAGAGGAACGCCGGAGGCGAAAGCGGCGCACUGGGCCUGUCCUGACGCUGAGAUGCGAAAGCCAGGGGAGCAAACGGG
Molecule: ribosomal RNA, 254 nt
Filed under: uncultured bacterium
Lineage: Bacteria
Description: partial 16S ribosomal RNA
Rfam family: Bacterial small subunit ribosomal RNA
Source: RNAcentral